Thalassophryne amazonica is the source of this 249-nucleotide long non-coding RNA. RefSeq lists it as uncharacterized. The transcript has 3 exons. The record is from RefSeq and is a predicted model, not a curated record. Lineage: Eukaryota; Metazoa; Chordata; Actinopteri; Batrachoidiformes; Batrachoididae.
CAUUUCUCCAUCCUAGGAUACAAUUCCAUUUGUGAAACUACUCCUUUUCUAUUUCUCAUUUGUCACUAGCUUUAAUGUUUCAGCUGAACUAAUACCUGAUUAACUUUAAUCAUCCAUUUAAUGCUUCUCAGUCUAUUCUUUGUCAUCAGCUUUUGACUGUGUUUUGUUGGCUCACGUUCUUUCCCACUGCAAAUUCCUACACUUCCCAGAAUGCCUUGAGACAGCCCUGAGAGAACUUCCCUGAACUAU